This 22-nucleotide microRNA is filed under the name Bos taurus (domestic cattle). RNAcentral describes it as "bta-miR-11998". Lineage: Eukaryota; Metazoa; Chordata; Mammalia; Artiodactyla; Bovidae. The record is from miRBase by way of RNAcentral.
UUCUCUAGUGUGUUUUCCCAAC